This 405-nucleotide ribosomal RNA is filed under the name uncultured bacterium. Its description in RNAcentral is "partial 16S ribosomal RNA". It matches the Rfam family "Bacterial small subunit ribosomal RNA", at positions 30 to 526 of the family's 1533-position model. The record is from RNAcentral.
AUUGAACGCUAGCGGGAUGCUUUACACAUGCAAGUCGAACGAGUGGCGGACGGGUGAGUAAUAUAUCGGAACGUGCCCAGUCGCGGGGGAUAACUACUCGACAGAGUGGCUAAUACCGCAUACUAUUUGAGCGGCCGAUAUCGGAUUGGCUCGUUGGGGGGGGAAAGGCUCACCAAGGCAACGAUCCGUAGCUGGUUUGAGAGGACGACCAGCCAAACGGGGACUGAGCAACGGCCCAGACUCCUACGGGAGGCAUCAGUGGGGAAUUGUGGACAAUGGGGGAAACCCUGAUCCAGCCAUCCCGCGUGUAUGAGAAGGCCUUCGGGUUGGAAAGUACUUUUGGCAGAGAAGCGGUAUCUGCAGAAUAAGCACCGGCUAACUACGUGCCAGCAGCCGCGGUAAUUC